RNAcentral lists this ribosomal RNA (253 nucleotides) under uncultured bacterium. RNAcentral describes it as "partial 16S ribosomal RNA". It matches the Rfam family "Bacterial small subunit ribosomal RNA", at positions 524 to 776 of the family's 1533-position model. The record is from RNAcentral.
GACAGAGGGUGCAAACGUUGCUCGGAAUUACUGGGCGUAAAGCGCGUGUAGGCGGGUCGGUGGGUCGGGGGUGAAAUCCCCAGGCUCAACCUGGGAACUGCAUUCGAAACUACCGGCCUAGAGUGGUGGAGAGGGAAGUGGAAUUCCUGGUGUAGAGGUGAAAUUCGUAGAUAUCAGGAGGAACACCAGUGGCGAAGGCGGCUUCCUGGACACCAACUGACGCUGAGACGCGAAAGCGUGGGGAGCAAACAGG